RNAcentral lists this ribosomal RNA (253 nucleotides) under uncultured bacterium. Its description in RNAcentral is "partial 16S ribosomal RNA". It matches the Rfam family "Bacterial small subunit ribosomal RNA", at positions 524 to 776 of the family's 1533-position model. The record is from RNAcentral.
UACGUAGGGGGCAAGCGUUGUCCGGAUUUAUUGGGCGUAAAGAGCGUGUAGGCGGCCACACAGGUCCGCUGUGAAAACUCGAGGCUCAACCUCGAGCUGUCGGUGGAAACCGUGUGGCUAGAGUCCGGAAGAGGAGAGUGGAAUUCCCGGUGUAGCGGUGAAAUGCGCAGAUAUCGGGAAGAACACCCGUGGCGAAGGCGGCUCUCUGGGCCGAUACUGACGCUGAGGAGCGAAAGCGUGGGGAGCGAACAGG